UACGGAGGAUGCAAGCGUUAUCCGGAUUUAUUGGGUUUAAAGGGUGCGUAGGCGGACCUUUAAGUCAGUGGUGAAAUCCUGUAGCUUAACUAUAGAACUGCCAUUGAUACUGAAGGUCUUGAGUCCAGUUGAGGUAGGCGGAAUGUGUAAUGUAGCGGUGAAAUGCUUAGAUAUUACACAGAACACCAAUUGCGUAGGCAGCUUACUAAACUGUCACUGACGCUGAGGCACGAAAGCGUGGGGAG
Molecule: ribosomal RNA, 245 nt
Filed under: uncultured bacterium
Lineage: Bacteria
Description: partial 16S ribosomal RNA
Rfam family: Bacterial small subunit ribosomal RNA
Source: RNAcentral